ACUAUAGUGGGCCAUCUCGGCUACAAUGGGUUGUAGUUAUUUUGAGCCUCACACUUUUGUUUUUUAAAAGAUGUCUAAUAAGAGAGAGAAUGUCCCAUUCUAUAUAAACUAGAGUCCUUAACUCACAACCGAUAUAGGAUUAAAGGUGCCCUUCUUCCGUAAUAGUAGCCCCCACCAAUCAAAGAGGAGUAUGCAUGGACUAGAGUAGGAGGUGAAGGCCCACCCCUUCCUCUAAUGUCAUUCCAUUACGGUCAG
Molecule: long non-coding RNA, 255 nt
Filed under: Elaeis guineensis (African oil palm)
Lineage: Eukaryota; Viridiplantae; Streptophyta; Magnoliopsida; Arecales; Arecaceae
Description: long non-coding RNA (EGUI_LNC057774)
Source: RNAcentral